Molecule: non-coding RNA, 763 nt
Organism: Pelobates cultripes (western spadefoot toad)
Lineage: Eukaryota; Metazoa; Chordata; Amphibia; Anura; Pelobatidae
Source: the annotation of a GenBank genome assembly
CCGUCCAACGCAGACAGCUUUUUACUAGCAUUGGGGAUAACCACCCGUGCCACAUCCGGGAUUGGCAGACCCACUCAUCAGUGGGAUUUGAACAAUGUCACCAUCUUCACACCAGCUGGUUUCUCCACUCCAGGAUGAGGUGCAAACGGAAGAGCCCCUGCUCAGCAAAUGUCCCAUCACAUGGGGGUUUUACAGCGGACUUUCCAAUACUAUAUUAACAAUUAACCCAGUCUUUAAGUUUCAGGCGCAGUUCCGAUUUGUUUUCACUAUAAAUGUUUUUACGCUUUCACUACACCACUGUGGUAAGGACCUAUACAGGUCAAAUGACCUCUAGAGAACACAGCAGGACCUAAGUUAUGUACCGUUCUAAGGAACAGUUUCCAACACACACAGUCUUCUCCCCCUACCCCCCUGAGCUUCGGGGUCAUGGAGCUCGUUUUAUUCCCACUUGGGCUAGAACACGCACCGACACUUGCCAACAGACAGGCAGCCCAGAUACACUUCUCGGAGUACACCUCCAGGUAGUAUCUCCAUACAAGCAGGCAAACUGGCAGACAGAUAGCCUGCACACAUAUAUGCUCCAGAUACAACGUGUUAUGCUCUGUAUGUUACGGUUAGUGGUCUCAGAUGUCUGCCAUGUUCUACACUUGAUUAUAAGCUACUGUAUAUCGACCUCUCUUCACCGAAGCUAUCUUAAACAUAAAUUAAAAAAUAGGUGUUAAAUUGCUGACAUGUUUGCUAUCAACACUGUACUACGCUAAGC